UUAUCGAUAUGACGUAAGGCUGUAGCGUCGUCGCUCGUCGUGAGUCAACUACGAUCGCGUCGUACGCGCUGGUCAUAGGAGCUGAUCUGGAGGUGAUGCGUCGAGACCGAUGCAGCAGUCUGCUACUGACGUAGACUAGCUCGACACAGAUAAUCUGUAGUCAUGCGUACGUGACUAGUCGACAUCACGAUCGCGCACUACCAUAGUGCGCUGGAGUACGACGCAGCUAGCUCACGAUGACGGAGCGACAGCGCGAGCAUGCGAUAUCGAUGCACGCGAGACUACAGACUGACAUGUCUCGAUCGCGUAGAGAUACGUGACUUGGCGGAUCACAGUGUGCAUGUGUCGUCAGCUCGUGUCGUGAGAUGUAAUAGUCCGCACGAGCGCACCUCGUACAUGUGCAGCACGUAAUGUAGACUCAUGGAGACUGCCGGGUCACUCAAGGAAGGUGGCGACGACGUCAUAUCAUCAUGCACUUAUGUCUUGGCUUCACGCAUGCUACAAUGGCCGGUACAAUGGGUUGCGAUACUGUGAGGUGGAGCUAAUCCCACAAGCCGGUCUCAGUUCGGAUUGGGGUCUGCAACUCGACCCCAUGAAGUCGGAGUCGCUAGUAAUCGCAGAUCAGCAACGCUGCGGUGAAUACGUUCCCGGGCCUUGUACACACCGCCCGUCAAGUCACGAAAGUCGGUAACACCGGAGGCGUAGCCUGUAAUGUAGUCGUAUAGAGCUUUAGCAUG
RNAcentral lists this ribosomal RNA (737 nucleotides) under thermal spring bacterium 3C. RNAcentral's name for it is "partial 16S ribosomal RNA". It matches the Rfam family "Bacterial small subunit ribosomal RNA", at positions 948 to 1461 of the family's 1533-position model. The record is from RNAcentral.